GCAGACCCUCCCCUCUCCCCUCCAGCCUGGACACGCCCGCCUCCCCUUGACUCCCCCCAGCUCUGGGCCCCCACCUCCCCUCCCCUCCAGCACAGUCACCCCCAUUUCUCUCCUAUCCGCCAUCCUGGUUCCUCCCUUCCCCCCACCUCCCAACUCUGUGCCCCGCCAACGUUUCCUAAAUGCCCUCUAUUCAGAUCCCCCCUCCGCCUCCCCUCUCCUCUCCUCCAUUCCUGCGUCCCCCUUCCCCCGCCGCGCCGCCUGGGCUGUCCGUGGACUUCUCCCACUCUCUCACUCUCUCACUCACUCUCUCUCUCUCUCUCUCUCUCUCACUCUCUCUCUCUCUCUCCCCCUCAUUUAUUUGGAACCGUUGGAUAAGAAGUGCUCGGGCUCUCGCUCAGACUUAGGGAGCUGCCUCGAGGUGAUGAAUGACACCCCCUGGCACCAGCUACCCUUCUCAGACCCCAGUCCAGCCCGCUCCCGACGUCGACUACGAUUCCGCUACCUCGGCUGGCAGCGAGGUUGGGGUGAGCCCCAGCUGCAGGCGCGUCUGGGCUGCGCCGCUGCAAACGAGUUGCGCACCUUGGGCGGCUCCGCACCUGCACCCGCACCCGCGGGGCUCAGCCCCGAAGGCUGCAGCUUCGGGGGAGGCGCGGUCGCCGAGGUCCAGCUGGUGGGGCGAGAGACGUCGCCCCUCGGAGGAUGCUCUCGGAACUUGGGAGAGGAAGGAGGGAAGAGAAGAGGGGAAAGGGGCCGUCGAUGUUUUUGAUGUCUGUGCUUUAAUGGAGGCCACCAAUAUUGAGAAGACGGGGUUGGCCGAGGCAGCCCGCACGCUGCUGCUUGCGAGCGCUCGAGUCAAAGCUAGGGCCAACCGCGGCUUGUCCGGGUGCCCUAAGGGGGCGGACACUUGGUUUAGCACCGGGACACAGAAUAGCCACCGGGGUAGGAAGAUGCGUUCACUUUGCUUACCUGUUGGCAAGAGGGACAUACAAAAAUAACGUAACGUGACAAACUGUAACCAUACUUAGGGAGGCAGACGUCAAAGGCAAGUACAUCUGUAUUCAACUGGGUAAAGGAAGAGUUUUUCAGCCUGGCGUGGUGGCUCACACCUGUAAUCCCAGCACUUUGGGAGGCCAAGGUGAGUGAAUCUCCUGAGUUCAGGAGUUCAAGGCCAGCCUGGACAACAUGGUGAAACCGUCUCUACCCAAAAUACAAAAAAUUAGCCCAGCAUGGUGGUGUGUGCCUGAGGUCCCAGCUACUCGGGAAGCUGAAGUGGGAGGAUUGCUCAAGCCUGGGAGGUGGAGGUUGCAGUGAGUCGAGGUCGUGCCACUGCACUCCAACCUGGGUGACAGAGUGAGACUCCAUCUAAAAAAAAAAUAGUUUUUCUACUUCUCUCUCCAGUGCUGUACACAGUAGGUGCUCAAUAUUUCUUUGUUGAGUGAGUGAAGGGGCAAAUGAAGACUGUGGUGAGAGGUGGGCCCUGGGACCCUCUGCCAUGUAGAUUUGUUCUUCCUUCCUCUUAGAUGACCCCAUUCAUCGUGCCAUUGCAGCCUAGGCCCUACUUAAUCCUGGGAUGUGGUAAGAAGAGAACGCCAGGGUCGGGGAGGGAGAAGGGCAGUGGGAAGCUGGGAGAAAGAAAGGGCCACCCUGGCGCAAGGAAGGAAGAAGGACGGUUAUGGGCAAUUCCUGCAACUGCCCUCUAAUGAGAGCCUGCUGUGUCCCCAAUAUAAAGUGUGUCACACCACCUUGGACAGGUGGUCCUCAGCGUUAUUCCAUUGAACCCAUGUUUGCAUCUGAUUGAAAGGAUUAAGCAUUUAUAUGUUUCCAAAUUUUCAUAAGCCUGGAAAGAUGAACACCCUACUUGGUGAAAUCCAAUGGCGAGUCAUCCUAAAUUCUUAGUCACCAAAGAGAGAAUUUGGGGCACUGGGGAAACCCAGACGCUGACUACGCAAUGAGAACAUAAUGAAUAAUGAGGGCUGAAACAUUACAGGUAUGUGCCACAGGCUUCUAGAGAUGGCUUUCAAGCUUCCCUGUGACUUUGAACUUCUCAUUCUCACAAUGCUUUUGGACAGACUUUAUUUUUCAGAAUCAGAGAUAACGGGCAGAUGCUAAUGGGCUGAGCUUUGCUGUGAGCUCUGGGGUGGGGCCUAGAUGGGAUCCUCCUGUGGGUGUCAGCACUGGGUGUUACCACGUCAGCGUUCCCCUGCCUUAGAUGGAUUGUUUCUCUUUGACGUUGGGAUGGUUUCCUAACCCACGUCUGCAGUGAAUCAGCCCCUGAUAGAGGAAUGAUUCAGUGGACUCCUGUAGUCGGGUACCCAGGUUGAAGGAGACACAUUCAAAGACACUGGUAUCACUCAGGAUGUCUGAGGCUGCAACUCACAGGAGAUCCAGCUGAUAGUGACUUCAAACAUAACCAUGUGUGUUUAUCUCAUGCAGCAGGAAGUCUAGGGAUUUAUGGCUCCAGGGUUACACAGCUUCUCUGGAAUUCUGGUUCUAGAAAGGCAGUAUGUCACAACAGUGAGGAGUACAGCCUCUGCCAUGGGUCUCCCUGAGUUCAAAUCCCAGCUUUGGUGCUUCUUGUCUGUGAAACUUCCCACAAAUUACUGAACUUCGCUGAGCCUCGGCUCCCUCCUCUGUCAAUUGGAGAGAACAGUAGUUGUCCUUCCAGAGUUGCUGUUAGAAUUAAAUUAGUUAAUAUCUAUAAACUGCUUAAGGAGAGACUGGCAUGUAUUAAGCACUAUGAGUGUUAGUUCUUGUCAUCUUUAUUUAUUUUUAUCAUCCCCUCAUUGUCACAAGAUCGUUCCCAAAGCAGCAGGCUUUCACACCACACGACAGUAUGCAGGACAGGAAGGAAAGUGCUGGAGGGGACAAGGCAAGGGAUAAGAAUGACACAGGCCUCUCUUGGGCAUCUCUCUCCUUUAGCAGGGAGAAAACUCCUUCCCAGACCUCAUGCCUUUCUCAGAGCCUACAGGUCAGGACUGGGCCACACAGUGAUGUCUGAGGCAAUACCUGGCAAAGGAGAGUGAAAUCAUCAUGGUUUGGAGCCUCUGUGCUAUCUCCCGUGGUAGCUCCUAAUAACCAC
RNAcentral lists this long non-coding RNA (3079 nucleotides) under Homo sapiens (human). RNAcentral's name for it is "non-protein coding BASP1-AS1:27". The record is from RNAcentral. Lineage: Eukaryota; Metazoa; Chordata; Mammalia; Primates; Hominidae.